This 308-nucleotide ribosomal RNA is filed under the name uncultured Enterobacteriaceae bacterium. RNAcentral's name for it is "bacterial SSU rRNA". It matches the Rfam family "Bacterial small subunit ribosomal RNA", at positions 355 to 658 of the family's 1533-position model. Lineage: Bacteria; Pseudomonadati; Pseudomonadota; Gammaproteobacteria; Enterobacterales; Enterobacteriaceae. The record is from RNAcentral.
UGGGGAAUAUUGCACAAUGGGCGCAAGCCUGAUGCAGCCAUGCCGCGUGUAUGAAGAAGGCCGUCGGGUUGUAAAGUACUUUCAGCGAGGAGGAAGGCAUUAAGGUUAAUAACCUUGGUGAUUGACGUUACUCGCAGAAGAAGCACCGGCUAACCCGUGCCGCAGCCGCGGUAAUACGAGGGUGCAAGCGUUAAUCGGAAUUACUGGGCGUAAAGCGCACGCAGGCGGUCUGUCAAGUCGGAUGUGAAAUCCCCGGGCUCAACCUGGGAACUGCAUUCGAAACUGGCAGGCUAGAGUCUUGUAGAGGG